UUCUGCUUCUGCAAUUACGACCACCUCAUAUUGAUGGCCAGUCAGUUCUGAAUUCUUUGACAGUGUCAGAACUUAAUUCAUGUGUUCUCAAAUUCCCAUCCGCAGUAAAAUUCUAAGUCAGUCCCUUCCAUUAAAUGUUUUUUUCUUAUAUUUUAGUAACUCAUAUCUGUUUUUAAGAAGGUACCGUGUUGAGAUUAAUGUAUCAGAUACGUCAGACUCUGAUGUGUUCGCUCCUCUCAUACAGACAUGGAAUUGCACAUCCAAUUUAUACGUCUCAAGGGUCACAAAACCUGAGGGUUUGUGUUAGGAAAGAGUGUGCUAAAAGAAGCUGUUGGAUUGGAAAAGGAUGACAAGGGAACAAAGGAAGAUAGAAUCAAUGAAGAUAGCAAUUUUAAUGGAAUAGUUUUGUGGUGACAAAGCCAGGACAGGCUGCUCUCUUGACCAAAUUGUGAUACACAACAAAUGUAAGAUUCUGAUAAUUCUCAUGUACUAAAUUUUUGUCAUCAGGAAGAAUGCUUUUCAUUACUCCUCACAAUGACUACGCUGAGAAAGAUCGUGUAACCCUCAAAUUAAUAUACUUUCCUAAUUGCAGGCUUGAGAUUUUGUUUCCAUUGUAAGCAUACCAAUAAUGGUUUGAAGCAAUUUAUUAAAGUAUUAACUACUGAUGCAUUCUCUUCAGUUGUUUCGUGCAGACUAUUACGUCAGAUGAUCAGAGAAACAACAGCUCACAUGUGAAAACUGAUACAGAGAGAAAUGUCUCACCAAUGCAUUUUUGGAGGCUCCUUUUGCACAUACAUCUCAACCUUGG
Molecule: long non-coding RNA, 808 nt
Filed under: Brassica rapa (field mustard)
Lineage: Eukaryota; Viridiplantae; Streptophyta; Magnoliopsida; Brassicales; Brassicaceae
Description: long non-coding RNA (BRAP_LNC006563)
Source: RNAcentral